CAUUAGCAUCCCCGAUAGGAACCCUAUCUUUAGCAAAAUUUUCCCACUCGAACCCCUUCGAAUUUCUUCCCUCCCCUUCUUUCUCACACUAUCAGAACCGAAUAGCCUGCAACACCUUUUCACUCACGAACCCUAGUAUUUCUCUACCUCCCCUUCUCCCUCCCCUUCUCUCUCGAGGUCUCUAUCUCUCUCUGUUCGGUGAUGUCUCUACUUCUCAAUCUCACAGUCUAACGCAUCCAGGGGCAUUCCAUCUCAAUCUCUCAGUCUACAAUCGAGUUUCUCCUUAUUGUGAAGCAAACAAAAGGGGCAUUCUAUCGCAAAACGAGUUGUGGUGGGAAGCUCGUUUUCCAGAGCAACAAGAACAGAGUCAGUGGGCCUAAGUGUCUUGUUACCGGAAAGAGAAUCCAAGGGAUAUCAGAAUAUAUAUUCUCAUCCAUGCUGCAAAAUAACAAAGAAGACUGCAGCAUUUAUAAAUUCACAUAAGCUUCAAAAGGCUGAACAAAUUAUAUUAAGUUCUACAAGCUCCAUGGCAGUGGCCUUUUGAACGGAUUAGCAUACCAACCUUAAAUGGAGUAAAAAAUGAGUGGGAGAAGCAUUCAGUUAUCACUUGAUCCCUAUGCUUCAAGUUUCUAUAGUAGUCCACAGGAGGUUUGUAUAAGGGAGGAUGAUGAUGAAGUUGAGCUACAAGUAGCAAGAAAGAGGUUGAUAGAUGUUAUGAGGCUUGGAGUUGGACAAGGACUUACCCAUUCAAUUUGACAUGAAAUGUUACAGGAAGAUCAAGCUCGUUUGAUGAUCCAAGGAUUCAAAAGGUUGUUACACAACGAUAGAGAAAUUAUUGAUGGAGAAGUUAACAAGACAUUGAAGACAUUUGACACUUCUUUUAUUAUGUUUAUUGUUAAAAAUAAGAACAUCAUGCUAUUACUUUUUUGUUGGAAACAUUAAUUACUUUAAUUAAAUGAUACAUGUUUUUUGUGUUUGCAUUUGCAUAUGAAAAAAAAUUAAAAUUUACAAGUAUCUUAUGACAGGUUAUAUCAAUGAUUUGAUAAUUAUGCAAUUAUCUUAUGACAGGUUAUAUUGAUGGUUUGAUAACUAUACAGUUAUCUUUAUGACAUGUUAUAUUGAUGGUUUGAUAACUAUACAAUUAUCUUUAUGAUAGGUUAUAUCGAUGGUUUAAUAACUCUACAGUUAUCUUUAUAACAAGUUAUAUUGAUAAUUUGAUAGUUAUAUAAUUAUCUUUAUGACAGGUUAUAUUGAUGGUUUGAUAACUAUACAGUUAUCUUUAUGACAGGUUAUAUUGAUGGUUUGAUAACUAUACGGUUAUCUUAUAAUAGGUUAUAUCAAUAGUUUGAUAACCAUUCAAUUAUUUUAUAGCAGGUUAUAAUACACCAUUGUGAUAGGUAUUAUGUAAUUACGGUUAUCUCUAUAAACCGUUGCAAUAGGUACUUGAUAACUACGGUGUUCUUUAUAAACUGUUGCGAUAGGCAUUCUGUAACAAUGGUUUUCUUUAUAAACCGUUGUGAUAGGUAUUCUGUAGCAACGGUUUUCUAUAUAAACUGUUACGAUAGGCGUUCUGUAACCAUGGCUUUCUCUAUAAACCGUUGCAAUAGGCAUUCUAUAGCAACGGUUUUCUCUAUAAACCAUUGCGAUAUACAUUCUAUAACAAUGGUUUUCUCUAUAAACCGUUGCGAUAGACAUUUUGUAGCAACGAUUAUUUCUAUAAACCAUUGCUAUAGACAUUUUCUAGUUACGGUUUUCCCUAUAAACCGUUGCGAUAGACAUUUUCUAGCUAUGGUUUUCUUUAUAAACCAUUGUGAUAGACAUUUUCUAGCUACGGUUUUCAUGAAAAACCGUUGCGAUUGACAUUUUCUAGCUAUGGUUUUCAUGAAAAACCGUUGCGAUAGACAUUUUUUAGCUAUGGUUUUCAUGAAAAACCGUUGCGAUAGACAUUUUCUAGCUACAGUUUUCAUGAAAAACCGUUGCGGUAAACAUUCUGAAGCUACGGUUUUCAUAAAAAUCAUUGCAAUAAGAGGACUAAUUUUCUUUUUAAAAAUGUUUUUUGCUACGGUUUCGUCUAUUGCUAUAGGUACUUUUGCAACGGUUUUUAUAAUGUUAUAGCAACAGACAAUGUCCAUUGCUAAAUGAUAGCUCUAGCAACAGUUUUCUGAAACCGUAGUGAGAACCUAUCGCCACGGUGAAAGAGGCAUCGGUUUUGUGUCCGUUGCGAGUUCGUUGCUAGAAGUCUUUAGCAACGGUUUUUGGUACUUCUAGCAAACCGUUGCUAGAAGUCAAUUUUCCUGUAGUGUGAAGGAAAUAUUUGUGGGCAGAAAUAUUCAUCUUUGUUUCUUUUUUGGCAGGAUGUCAUGAAACAGACAUACCAGAAAGUCAUCAAAGCAGCAAUAGACUUUGGGUAUCAGAAAGAAUCUCCUGAAUACCACCAACACUGAAAUCACCAAAGCUUGGUAGGCAUAAGGGCUUACUUGUGGAAGGUUUUGAAGGAAGUAGCAGUAGAAUAGACAUGCUGAGUCUUGAUUUGAAAAGCUCCCAAUGGCAUUGUGAAGGGAACAUCUCUUGUACAAACCAAGAAUUUAUCAAUUUGAAACUGAAGUAUAUUUGACUCAAAAGUUUUGAAUGGAUAAUAGAUUUUUAAAUUUUA
Nelumbo nucifera (sacred lotus) is the source of this 2653-nucleotide long non-coding RNA. RefSeq lists it as uncharacterized. Lineage: Eukaryota; Viridiplantae; Streptophyta; Magnoliopsida; Proteales; Nelumbonaceae. The record is from RefSeq and is a predicted model, not a curated record.